AUAACUUGAUCCAGAACCUUGCCGUCCAUGGCGGCGCUGCCGCACUGACCUAGCUCUCAUGGCCACAGCUCCACCGGAGAAGUUAGGGUGUAACAAUUUGGUAUCAGAAACGUUCGGUCCUCGGCGCGCUUCGCCAUCUCGCCGCUAGUCAGUAACACCGACCGUUUGGUAGGGGAACACCUUCGGGUCGAUCCCCUUAAAUCCCGACGGCGUUUGACCGACGUAGAGGAAGC
This 233-nucleotide long non-coding RNA is filed under the name Brachypodium distachyon (stiff brome). Its description in RNAcentral is "long non-coding RNA (BDIS_LNC005670)". The record is from RNAcentral. Lineage: Eukaryota; Viridiplantae; Streptophyta; Magnoliopsida; Poales; Poaceae.